AACGAACGCUGGCGGCAUGCCUAACACAUGCAAGUCGAAAGAGAUCUUCGGGUCUAGUGGCGCACGGGUGCGUAACGCGUGGGAAUCUGCCCUUUGGUUCGGAAUAACAGUGGAAACGACUGCUAAUACCGGAUGAUGACGAAAGUCCAAAGAUUUAUCGCCAGAGGAUGAGCCCGCGUAGGAUUAGCUAGUUGGUGUGGUAAAGGCGCACCAAGGCGACGAUCCUUAGCUGGUCUGAGAGGAUGAUCAGCCACACUGGGACUGAGACACGGCCCAGACUCCUACGGGAGGCAGCAGUGGGGAAUAUUGGACAAUGGGCGAAAGCCUGAUCCAGCAAUGCCGCGUGAGUGAUGAAGGCCUUAGGGUUGUAAAGCUCUUUUACCCGGGAUGAUAAUGACAGUACCGGGAGAAUAAGCUCCGGCUAACUCCGUGCCAGCAGCCGCCGUAA
Molecule: ribosomal RNA, 448 nt
Filed under: uncultured bacterium
Lineage: Bacteria
Description: partial 16S ribosomal RNA
Rfam family: Bacterial small subunit ribosomal RNA
Source: RNAcentral